This 1173-nucleotide long non-coding RNA is filed under the name Equus asinus (donkey). RNAcentral describes it as "lncRNA (ENSEASG00005028264.1)". The record is from RNAcentral. Lineage: Eukaryota; Metazoa; Chordata; Mammalia; Perissodactyla; Equidae.
CAGGUGAGGAAACGGCUGAGACUCAGAGAGAAGCGCCUUGCCCAAAGCUACACAGCUGAAUAGUGGUGGAGCGGGAGAAGAACCCACACCCCUGAACCCAAAUCCAGUGCUCUUUUCAUUCACACGCUCUUUGUCACCUCUUCUGACGUCAAACCUUCUUUCCACAGAAAUGAAACAUCUCUUCCGUCCAAGCAAAGGAAAAGCAGGCAGCAAAAGUUAUGGAGUAUGGCCUGAGAGCGCUCUUCCAAGCCGGCAAAUCCAGUGAUUCCUGGAGGAGACCCCAAGGAGCAUCACUCUCCCCUGGUGGCACCCCAGCUCUUAAGAUCCUGUCCAUCCCAAAAGCCAGGGGCUUCACUUGGACUUCCUUUCCUAGAAGGCUUUUCUCCCCUAGAUUGACGAAACCACCACCAUAUUCCAGGUUGUUUGAGCCAUUGGAAAUCGCUCUCCCAUCAAACUUGAAGCCUGAGGGGAACUGAGACCACUCCCCCGUUAAAGAGUGCAUUCCAGCUAGUGACCAGAUGGCUCCGUUGUUCAAUCAAACUUUUACCUUGAGAAUCUAUGAUCAAGUUCUUGCUUGGGUAGAAACUCCAUGGUGGCAGGGAUCUUGUCUUUCUUGUCGUUACUUUACCUCCAAAGUGUAGCACAUAGUAGGCUCUCCAUAAAUGUUCAUUGAGAGAAUGAAGGAAGGAAAGAUGGAAGGACGGGGGGGCGGCACCUCCCUGUCCAAAGGCAAUUGCACAGUUCUAUGGUAUUGCCCUUCAGCCACCUGUAUGGGAUUUUGACAAGUUCAACAUGAACAGCUUGCCUGCUAAGCUGGGUGCCUGGUGGGGAGGGCCCCUGGAUUCCUACCAUAAACACGCGAUUCCUCUGUGCCCCUUCGUUGAAGCCUCCUAGAGAAAAAUCAGAAAGGUCGGGCCCAAAGGGUUUACAUGCUUCCCUCCCAGUGUCCAAAACAACCACCCCCAGGAAGGGCUGGAGGCAGGAAACCCUGGCUGUUGAAGAGUUGAAUUACACGGGCCUUUUUCUUCAGUGUGUGAACCUAUGUUGAGGACUAAAUAAAAUGUGGCACUAGAAGAAAAAAUUCUGAACAUGACACAUUUUAUAGAUUUGAAGAAUUAUCAAACAGGAAGAGAGAGAAAACUUAAUUUGGCCAGCUGAGUCAAAGUAAAAUGA